Molecule: ribosomal RNA, 315 nt
Filed under: uncultured eukaryote
Lineage: Eukaryota
Description: partial 18S ribosomal RNA
Rfam family: Eukaryotic small subunit ribosomal RNA
Source: RNAcentral
CCCUUAGACGUUCUGGGCCGCACGCGCGCUACACUGACCAGUGCAACAAGCAUCCGUCCUUGGCCGACAGGCCCGGGCAAUCUUUGAACGCUGGUCGUGAUGGGGAUAGACUUUUGCAAUUUUUGGUCUUCAACGAGGAAUUCCUAGUAAACGCAAGUCAUCAACUUGCAUUGAUUACGUCCCUGCCCUUUGUACACACCGCCCGUCGCACCUACCGAUUGAAUGGUCCGGUGAAGCCUCCGGAUUGGCGCGCACCCCGGUGCCGCCGAGAAGUUGGCUAAACCUUACCAUUUAGAGGAAGGUGAAGUCGUANCA